Molecule: ribosomal RNA, 484 nt
Filed under: uncultured bacterium
Lineage: Bacteria
Description: partial 16S ribosomal RNA
Rfam family: Bacterial small subunit ribosomal RNA
Source: RNAcentral
ACUCAAAUGAAUUGACGGGGACCCGCACAAGCGGUGGAGCGUGUUGAUUAAUUCGAUGGUAAGCGAAGAACCUUACCAAGGCUUGACAUAUUGGGAAUUUUGGCGAAAGCCGAGAGUGCCUUCGGGAACCCAAAUACAGGUGUUGCAUGGCCGUCGUCAGCUCGUGUCGUGAGAUGUUUGGUUAAGUCCAUCAACGAGCGCAACCCCUAUGAUUAGUUGUAUUUUUCUAGUCAGACUGCCCCGGUAACGGGGAGGAAGGAGGGGAUGAUGUCAGGUCAGUAUUACCCUUACGCCUUGGGCGUCAAACGCGCUACAAUGGCCGGUACAAUGAGCAGCCAAGCAGCAAUGCGGAGCAAAUCUCAUCAAAGCCGGUCUCAGUUCGGAUUGCAGGCUGAAACUCGCCUGCAUGAAGCUGGAAUCGCUAGUAAUCGCAGAUCAGAAUGCUGCGGUGAAUACGUUCCCGGGUCUUGUACACACCGCCCGU